This is a long non-coding RNA of Cavia porcellus (domestic guinea pig), 1815 nucleotides long. The record is from Ensembl. Lineage: Eukaryota; Metazoa; Chordata; Mammalia; Rodentia; Caviidae.
CAGGAAAUAAUAUUAGAUUUAGCAUUUUUUUAAGGAAGAAAAUAAAACCGAAUCGGAAUUGAAGCUGAUAGAAGAAGCCGUCCUAAAUCCCACAGUACUAAAAUUCCUGAGCAAGAGAUUCCUGAGGAAAGAGAUUUUACUUGUUUGGUGAAGACUGAAGCUAAUAUACAGGGUUAGAAGGGUCACGGAAGAGAAAGCCAAUGUGUAGACCACUUUUUGAAAAUGUGAUUUUGAGGCACUAUGAGGGACACGGAGAAAUCUGGAGAGGACUCAAUGUAGAGCGACGUUUCUUUGCAUUUGUGUGAGCCUCGACAGGCAGUUAUGCACCCCAGAGGAGGGUGAGCACAGCUCAGCGAGCAGAGGGGACGAACAAUGGAGCAAAUUUAUUAAGCGCUGGCUAAGAGUGUGGAGAUGCUACCUGGUGCCAGGGGAGGGCUUAGCCUGGGUAAAGAAGAACCUCAUUGGUGACUCCCAGGGACAUACUCUGUAGGACGAGGAUGAUGUCUAAAGGUCAGAUGGCAACAUACCAUGGGACACCGCUGGAUUCUCUAGGAAGCAGUAGCAAGAUAAUCCGCUGAAGCUGAACGUGAAAGAUGGAUGAUUUGAGGGGUGAAGAGAAAUCAGAUGCGCGGAAGAGGUACAAAAAGACCCAUGGAAGACUUGUCUGAUGAACUUGAAGUGCUGACCAUUCACGUUGUGAAGGAGCCAAAGGCACGAAUGUGUCACGAACCCAUCUGUGGGAUUGGGGAGGUGUCUCUAGGGGAUCUGAAAGCAGCUAUUCUUCAAUCAAAGCAGACAAUCUGCCACGCUGACCUCAGGAGGCCUGGACAUUAGCCUGCGAGUCUUCGUUCCUAGCAGGCAGACUACUCAGCCGCUCUGCAUCAGAGUCCUCAAGAUCGCACCUAAAUUUAUCUACUGUGGACAUUUAUGAGGAUUUGCAGCGGUUCAACCAAGGCUGGGGCACUGUCUGUGUCCCCUACAAAGGAAGCACCUGAUCCCCUGAAGAGGAGACGGGGAGGUGAGGAAAGGCGAGCUCCGGGUACAGUCAGUGGAGGCCACACAAACCAGCUGGAGGUGGUGAGUGCUUCUCGUUCCCCUAAAGAAGCCUGGGUGGCUGCUGAGAUACUCCAGAGAGGGAGGAGAGGCCUGUGUCUGUUGUUUUGAGCACUCGGGUUUUGAUUCUGGCCAGCUGCUUCCCUCUGGCUUCUUCAGUUUGGGCCGCAGGGUAGAGUUUGCUUGUAUCAGCCGAGCCAGCAUCUUGCAAGAGCUCUUCAUUCUUCUAGGUACAAAACAGGAAAACUGAGUCUCAGCUGGCCAUUUUUAGAUGAAGGAAAAGAGAAAACGCAAUGUUAACACCAUCAAACAUCAGCCCUGCAGCAGCGGGGAGGGAAGGAGGUCCGGCUGGACGUCCACAGAUUCAAGCUCUGCUCAGAUCUCUGUGAGCAAGCCAUGCUGUUCCCUGUCUUGCUUUUACCAUCCUUUAAAAUAAAGUGUGGGAGACAUCAGGGACCUGAUACGGGGUGGCCAGCUUCUCUGUCAUCAAGCGGCCGUCUUCCAAUCUAAUGCUACCUUAUACUGCUGGUGCUAGCACAGGGGGACCUGAAAGGAGGAGAGGGUACUUGGCACUCCCUUUCAAAGGAUUCAGUCCAGGGUCAGCAGCUCCAAGGCAGGAGCACCACGAGAGCAAUAUCGUUUGUAUUUUUGGGCUGCGUUUUGGAUAACUUAGAGAAGACAUGAAAUGCUUCAUAUUUGUUGUUCAGCUAGAGCUCGGAAUUCUACUUUAUAAUCCAAAUUGGUCAAACUAUUGAAUAGUGG